CCUACGGGUGGCUGCAGUGGGGAAUAUUGGACAAUGGGCGAAAGCCUGAUCCAGCCAUGCCGCGUGUGUGAAGAAGGCCUUCGGGUUGUAAAGCACUUUCAGUGGGGAAGAAAGCCUUGGGGCUAAUACCCUCGAGGAAGGACAUCACCCACAGAAGAAGCACCGGCUAACUCCGUGCCAGCAGCCGCGGUAAUACGGAGGGUGCGAGCGUUAAUCGGAAUUACUGGGCGUAAAGCGCGCGUAGGCGGUCUGAUAAGCCGGUUGUGAAAGCCCCGGGCUCAACCUGGGAACGGCAUCCGGAACUGUCAGGCUAGAGUGCAGGAGAGGAAGGUAGAAUUCCCGGUGUAGCGGUGAAAUGCGUAGAGAUCGGGAGGAAUACCAGUGGCGAAGGCGGCCUUCUGGACUGACACUGACGCUGAGGUGCGAAAGCGUGGGUAGCAAACAGGAUUAGAUCCCCCUGGUAGUC
This 466-nucleotide ribosomal RNA is filed under the name Vreelandella stevensii. RNAcentral's name for it is "partial 16S ribosomal RNA". It matches the Rfam family "Bacterial small subunit ribosomal RNA", at positions 338 to 795 of the family's 1533-position model. The record is from RNAcentral. Lineage: Bacteria; Pseudomonadati; Pseudomonadota; Gammaproteobacteria; Oceanospirillales; Halomonadaceae.